Molecule: ribosomal RNA, 771 nt
Filed under: Bacillus sp. (in: firmicutes)
Lineage: Bacteria; Bacillati; Bacillota; Bacilli; Caryophanales; Bacillaceae
Description: bacterial SSU rRNA
Rfam family: Bacterial small subunit ribosomal RNA
Source: RNAcentral
CCCCCGGCUCAACCGGGGAGGGUCAUUGGAAACUGGGGAACUUGAGUGCAGAAGAGGAGAGUGGAAUUCCACGUGUAGCGGUGAAAUGCGUAGAGAUGUGGAGGAACACCAGUGGCGAAGGCGACUCUCUGGUCUGUAACUGACGCUGAGGCGCGAAAGCGUGGGGAGCGAACAGGAUUAGAUACCCUGGUAGUCCACGCCGUAAACGAUGAGUGCUAAGUGUUAGAGGGUUUCCGCCCUUUAGUGCUGCAGCAAACGCAUUAAGCACUCCGCCUGGGGAGUACGGUCGCAAGACUGAAACUCAAAGGAAUUGACGGGGGCCCGCACAAGCGGUGGAGCAUGUGGUUUAAUUCGAAGCAACGCGAAGAACCUUACCAGGUCUUGACAUCCUCUGACAACCCUAGAGAUAGGGCUUCCCCUUCGGGGGCAGAGUGACAGGUGGUGCAUGGUUGUCGUCAGCUCGUGUCGUGAGAUGUUGGGUUAAGUCCCGCAACGAGCGCAACCCUUGAUCUUAGUUGCCAGCAUUCAGUUGGGCACUCUAAGGUGACUGCCGGUGACAAACCGGAGGAAGGUGGGGAUGACGUCAAAUCAUCAUGCCCCUUAUGACCUGGGCUACACACGUGCUACAAUGGGCAGAACAAAGGGCAGCGAAGCCGCGAGGCUAAGCCAAUCCCACAAAUCUGUUCUCAGUUCGGAUCGCAGUCUGCAACUCGACUGCGUGAAGCUGGAAUCGCUAGUAAUCGCGGAUCAGCAUGCCGCGGCGAAUACGUC